This is a long non-coding RNA of Anthonomus grandis grandis, 1333 nucleotides long. RefSeq lists it as uncharacterized. The transcript is spliced from 5 exons. Lineage: Eukaryota; Metazoa; Arthropoda; Insecta; Coleoptera; Curculionidae. The record is from RefSeq and is a predicted model, not a curated record.
UAGAACAUUGAAAGGCUAGAAUUAGUAAACAACAACUUUGUUUGAGUCCAACAUGUGCACAGGGGCAAGAGGGGUGUUUUGUUUACAAACAUAUUUGCCGAUUCUCUGUUGUCAAGUCGACGCAAAUUUCCAACGGAGGAAAUUUUUAGCUAUAUUUUAACAACCAUUAUAACGUUAAUUUAACUCAUUUGUGUAGUAUUUUAUAGGAAAAUUUAAAAUAAAAAGUAUAAAUACUACAAUUAACCUAUUUUAAGAAUAAAUAUAAUAUCCUUAAGCAUAAAAAAACAAAAUUACUAACAUUGUUAUCCCUAAAACUGCUUCUAAAAAAUUUGAAGCGACAACACCGGAGCUUAAGCGUCUGAGCCAUACGCGUAGUGUCAUCUGUCAAACGGCUUUUUGUUUAUUUUCGGGAUUCGUGUAUUUUCUUUAAUUUUCGGUUUCAAAAGGAAAAAGGCCACAUUUUAGUGUUUUUUUAAAUUGCUAGGAUGGGAAAAACUUGUGUCGUUUGUGUCGCAUCGUGAUAAAAAGGUGAUUCAAGCCGAUCUUUUCACAAAUUGCCUAAUAUAUGCCCAAAGGGAACAAUGGAUUUCAUUAAUGGAAAUCAACAAAAUUAAACAGAACAUAUUUGUUUGUUCAGAUCACAUCCUUAGAAGUGAUUUCUUAUAUAAGGAAGAUAAUAUUAUCAGUAGCCAGACUUAGACCAAACAGAUUAAAAAAAUCAGCUCUACCUCAAAGGAUUUCUGAUGCACUGGUUAAAAACACAGCAGCUGAUAAUUCAGUUAAUUUACCAAGUGAUUUACCCUUCAAAGCUGCAAGGGUAGUUUUCCUGAAGAGUGCAAAAACUUCUUUAGCUUCCAAAAUGGUAUAUAGUACAAACAGUGAAGCUGAUAUAGACAAAUCUGAUCAUUCAUCAUCAACAAUAACUGCAUCUGACAUUAAUAGUUCUACAGUAACCGUGGGGUCUAGGUCAACAAUUACUAUUUCUUAUCCAAGCCGUUUUUGUUUAACUGCUACAUAUUCCCUGACUCUGCCAAGGAAAAGGGUAAAAUCAAAAUGAUAUCCUGAGGACCUAAGCACUGAUGAUUCCACCGUUUCAAAAGCUAAAUCACUUGUUACCAAAUUAUGGAAAAAAAAUAAAGAGCAAAAAAUUAAAAUUCGAAGAUUGCAAUAAACAAAUUUGCCCCAAAGAAAUUGAAUUAGAUGUCUCAAGUCAUUAUUAAAAUACUUAAGAAAUAAUAACAUGAUUUUUGAAAAAGCCCAACAUACUACAUAAUUUAUUUGACUUGUAAAAGUACUUGAUUGUAUAUUUUUACUAAUAAACUAUUUAAUCUAA